UACACUUAAACCUGGAGGAAAAGAGUGCAAAGAUGAUUUGGACGUUAUAAGAGCCAUAGAAAGUAAUACAGGAUUCAAACAUGGAAAGGGGUGCAAGACUAGAUAAAUUGUAGUUCUACAUAAGGAUAUUGAAGAAGCUAAUCUGUCAAAGGUCCUGUCAUCACAGCCUAAUACUCCUCCAAGUGAAGCCUUGUUUUUAUUUUUAACAACAUAAAACUGGACAAACAGUAUAUUGUUGGAGACCAGUGCAAGAUUCCACUUGAGACAGCCUUUCUUAGUCACAAGUUGGCUGGGUAUUUACACUUUGUGGAAAAAUUGGAAAACUAAUAAACAAAUAGAACCAACAUUUUAAAUUAAAUUCAACCUUCUGUGUCAUGGACAUAUUAUUGACUUCUUAACAGCUUACCUUUUACCAUGAAAAAACCUGCUUUUUUGCACUUGCAAAAACAAAGGUGCAGAAUAGCUGUGUGGUAACCAUCAGCUGAUCAGUGCCUUUAUUUUUUGCUGCAUAGAUGGUGCAAUCCCUCCCCUUCCUUAAUCAGACAUUUAAAUCCUCUUGAUGUCUGAACAUGAAGCUGUAUAUUUUGACUCUAUUUGAAAUAGCAAAUGUCAAGUGUCAAUAUUUUUCAAAACAGCUAAGACUAUGCUUCUUUUUAGGAACUUUUAAAUACAGUGAUUUAUCAAAUGAUUAUUCACUAGCAGAAAAGAUUGACUUAAUAAUGCAGUGUUUAAACACUAAUUUUAUUAUUUAUGACAUCAGUAUGUUAUUGCAGACUGUGACAUUUUUAUGUCAAUGAAGCAUUAAAAUGCCAUAUAUUAUAAAUUGUUUAUUACAGUUAAGAAGUAUUAGUGCUAUUUGUUGUUUGCAAAUGUUAAUAUGCUCUUAUUUUGUACAUGCUAUGUAGUAAGUUUAAUAUAUUGCAUUGAUGUCUUAAAUAAGUUUGUAUUUUGUUGAUGUAUUACUGUCUAACUUUAACACAUGCUCACUUCAUUAUCAUAUUAGAUUUAUUAAAUUUUCAUUUACUGAUUUCAAGUGGUAAGCAGAAUUAUUUACAGAGAUCACUAGUUUUCACUGAUCAGGCACCUUUGUUGUGCAUUUAAAUUUUUGGUGUUUUCGGAGUCAAAGAAAUGAUUUAUCAAAAUAUUGUUUAAAGUUGCAUUGUAACUUUUUAGAGUGCUAAAGUGUACCAUUUUUUUUGUCUAAGCCUUAAGCGCACCACAACAAAAGACAUUUAUGAACCAUCAGGAUAUAUACUGUUACUGAUAAAAAAUAGAGCACUAGUGCACAGACUUUUGACUCCCCCCCCCCUCCUCGUAACCAUGAAGUGUAUUAUAAUUUGUCUGACAGUACUCGGACACAUUAUUGGGGACAGUCAACAUUGAAUGACCGAUUUUUGACACUGUCUGAAAAUACUGUUUGUUUUUUUCCAACCCAAAUAUGAUACAUAUAUGUGCCAAAACCGGGUUUUUUACAGAGAGGUAGGCUUUACUGUGUAAAAAGGUUUUAUUUUUGUAGAGAGAAGUUAAAUCCAUUUUAUAUAUGUUUUCAUUUUACCUGAAAUUCUACUGAUAUCCAUAUAUCAAUUUGUUUUUGUUGUUUAAUUGUCUAUCUAUCUAUUUACUUAAUUGUUUGCCUAAAUAUAACUGUAAUCUGUUUUAUGUAUUUAUUUUAUACAUUCAUUUUUAAUCCCCUUCUGCAUAGAGGGGAGGGGUCAAAUAUUCAUGUUUAUAACUUUUUGACAUGGAAGAUUUUAAAUAUUUUAGCAUAAAUAAUCACGACCAUGGCACAACAGCCAGGUUUUUCUCUAAAAGACAUGGUUUGUUAAAGAUCAAGAAGUACAGAUUCCUGUCCACUGCGAAGGGGAUAUAGCUGUCCUUCAGACUGCCUUGUUUUUAAUUGUUUGAAGUUUCAAUAUGAAAAUGCUCUUUUUAAUUUUGUGAUUUGUAACACCAGAAUUUCGGGUAUAUUGCAUUGGAUUGUAACAUGGCUGACAAGGUGACAGUAAAAUUGCCACCUGUAGGAAAUGCUACCUCAGUUGACAGUGUUUUUCCAAAAGUUGUUAACUUUACUGUCACUCUGUCAGGCAUGCAAUAUUAAUUUUAUUAUACCAAAAAUACUAUUAUGAUAAUGGUAGGGUGUCUUGAUCUAUUUAACAUUUAUGUGCAGUAAUGAAGAACAAUUAGUAUUUAACCUAAAUUUCAAAAUGCUAUUAAAAUGUGUAUAAUAUGUUUAUGUGUCAUUGUUCACAUUUUUUGGUUGAUCGUGUUUUGAAAUAAAACAUGGAAACUAUUAAAACGUGUAAACGUGUUUUAAAUCUGUUACAGUCCCAAAACACGUGUUAGGUGUUUUCAGACAAAACACCUAAACACGUUUUCUAGGAAAACACCCGUGUUUUAGUGUGAAACAUCAGUGUUUUGUGAAAACACCGCAACAUGUUUUAAAACUGUUACAGAUAGGUGUUUUCACAUGUGUUUGGAAUCAAAACACUGAGAUUUAGAGUGAAAU
Long non-coding RNA from Ruditapes philippinarum (Manila clam), 2506 nucleotides. RefSeq lists it as uncharacterized. NCBI's taxonomy places the organism in Eukaryota, Metazoa, Mollusca, Bivalvia, Venerida, Veneridae. The record is from RefSeq and is a predicted model, not a curated record. The transcript has 3 exons.